AUUGAACGCUGGCGGCAGGCCUAACACAUGCAAGUCGAACGGAGCGGCAGUCGGGUGAGUAAUGCCAAGGAAUCUGACUGGUAGUGGGGGAUAACGUCCGGAAACGGGCGCUAAUACCGCAUACUAUUAGAUGAGCCUCGGUCGGAUUAGCUAGUUGGGGGGGUAAAGGACUAACAGGGCGACGAUCCGUAACGGGUCUGAGAGGAGUAUGAGUCACCAUGGAACGGGAACACGGUCCAGACUACUACGGGAGGCAGCAGUGGGGAAUAUUUGACAAUGGGCGAAAGCCUGAUCCAGCCAUGCCGCGUGUGUGAAGAAGGUCUUCGGAUGGUAAAGCACGUUAAGUUGUGAGGCGUUACCAACAGAAUAAGCACCGGCUAACUUCGUGCCAGCAGCCGCGGUAAUUC
Molecule: ribosomal RNA, 407 nt
Filed under: uncultured bacterium
Lineage: Bacteria
Description: partial 16S ribosomal RNA
Rfam family: Bacterial small subunit ribosomal RNA
Source: RNAcentral